UCGGAAUUGUAACUAUGAGCUAUUUUUAAUGUUUUACCAUUUGACCUAGAGUUUCAAAAACGUCUUAGAAGGUUGAUUUUAUUUUCUGAAAAUCCAAGGAUUUUCUUAUUAGUUGUCUAUGUAAACAACGUUGAGCUCAAGGCAACCCGCACCAAGUCCCGGACGAGUGGAGUGUUCAGCGUCAGUGGCCUGUCGCUGGCAAUCGGACAGAAGUUUGAGAUAAAGCUCGUCAUGUCCCAUUAGCAUCGAAACCAAUUGUGUAGUAUAAUUUUUUAUCGGAAUAAAUUAAAGUUGAAUAUUGAUCUAGAGUGAUCUAUUGUUCAAUGUUUUAUCUUUUUAUCUAGAGUUUUAAAUAUGUCUUAACAGGUUGCUUUUAUUUUCUCAAAAUCCAAGGUACUGCUUAUUAGUUGUCGAUGUGGUCUGGAAUUCAGAAGGUACAUCGACAAUGUUGCAACUCAAAGAGGUAGGAAAAUUGUUCUUCAAUAGAUGGCUGCUGAGGUUUAUCAUCAUAGUUGGCAAGGCAACCAGUUGAAGAUUGAUAAUAUCGUGCGCCAAUUCUAAAGUGCAUCCGACCCGCUAGCAGCUUCCCCUCUCAUUUUAUAGUAGCAUAUAUAGGUAUUUAAGUAGCCCCUAAGAAGCUCACUUACAAGAUCUAGGUUUAUCUGAAAUUGUUCCUUGACCAUUUUCCUUUUGGCCCAAUAGACUGAAUUAGGCUAGAGUCUAUUUUGAUGUACGUUUGACAAAACAGGACAAGACCAUGAUUUGUGUUGCUUCUUCAAAAAUCAACGUCUUCAUAGGUUCCACACGACACGUGUAACUAGCAACCGCUGAAUUGUAAUUAUGAGCUAUUUUUUAGUGUUUAAAAAUUUGACCUAGAUUUUCAAAAACAUCUUAGAAGGUGGAUUUUACUUUCUCAAAAUCGAAGGUACUUCUUAUUAGUUGUCUAUAUGUAAACAACGUUGAGCUCAAGGCAUCCCGCACCAAGUCCGGACGAGUAGAGUGUUCAACGUCAGUGGCCUGUCGCUGGCAAUCAGACAGAAGUUUGAGAUAAAGCUUUUCAUGCAUGCUCUAUUAACAUUGAAACCAUUUGUGUAUAUUUUUUCAUCGGAAUAAAGAAAAAUUGAAGAUUGGUAGUAUCAUGUGCCAGUUCAAACAUGCAUUCUUCCCGUAGCAGCUCCAACUCUCAUUUCAUAGAAGCAAAUAUAGAUAUUUAACCACCCCCCGAGAUGAUCAGUUACUAGUUGUAUGUUGAUCUGAAAUUGCACCUUGACCAUUUUCCUUUUUGUUCUCCUACUAGGACAUUUUGAACGUGCUUGACGGACUUAGGCUAGCUAGAGUCUAAGUUUUUUUUUACCUUUGACAAAACAGGACAUGACCUUGAUUUGUUCUGUUUCCUCAAAAUACAACGUCUUCGUAGGUAGGUACCACAUGGCAUGUGUCACUAGCAACCUCAAAAUUGUAAUUAUGAGCUAUUACUUCAUGUUUAAUCAUUUGGUCUAGAGUUUCAAAAACGUCUUAGAAGGUUUAUUUUCUUUUCUCAAAAUACAAGGUACUGCUUAUUAGUUGUAGAUGUGGUCUUGUAUUCAAAAGGUACAGCGACAAAGUUGCAACUCAAAGGGAUAGGAAAACUGUUCUUCAACAGAUGGCAGCUGAGGUUUAUUAUCGUAGUCGGCGAGGUAACCAGUUGAAGACUGAUAGUAUCGUGUGCCAGUUCUAACAUGCAUCUGACCCGCUAGAAGCUUCCACUCUCAUUUCAUAGAAGCAAAUAUAGGUAUUUAAGCACCCCCUGAGAUGAUCCGUUCCAAGAUGUAUGUUGAUACCAAAUUGUUCCUUGAGCUUUUUCCUUUUGGCUCAGUAGACCGAAUUAUGCUUGAUUCUAAGUUUUCGUUUUACGUUUCACAAAACAUGCCAAGACCUUGAUUUAUUUUGCUUCCUCAAAAAUUAAUGUCUUCGUAGGUUCCAAACGGCAUGUAAAACUAGCAACCUCGGAAUUAUAAUUAUGAUCUACUAUUUAAUGUUUAAUCAUUUGAUCAAGAGUUUUAAAAAUGUCUUAACAAGUUGAUUUUAUUUUCUCAAAAUCUAAGGUACUUCUUAUUAGUUGUCACCCUACCUAUUCGUAGUCGUUUUUUUAAGGAGGAUAACUCCCGGCCUCUGCAUCAAGCGAUGCACAUAAACAUUUUUAUUGCAUAAUUUAGCAAGUUCUUACAAAAAAAAUACAUGGAUCGACCAAAUCCACCUUCCUGGCGAAAUCUGUUGCCCUACCUAGAAGGUUGAUGAUGUGUCAUGACCUCGUGUCAAUGCACACCAUGAAAUUCGGUAGCCUCACCAAGCCGCCCACCGGCUAGCCGGGUGCACCAACCGGUCAAGCAGAUCCUCAGUGUCCACCGCAUGUGCAUGUUGUAGAAUCUGUCACCCCCAUAUUCCGUCAUCCCAUCUUCCGGAGUAAUCAAUGCGUUGACCUUGCCAAGCCCUUUUGCCAUCGACACCAGGCAACGCCAGCCUUCCGCACGCGCCCAUCAAAUGUAGGCGUGGAUGGAAAAUUUUAGUAAAGGAGUAUAUUUCUUGCUAAAUGGAAAAGUGAGAAAGCAGGUUUCUACAAUGGUUGGCCAUCUUUGUUUUCUAUUUGUUCUAGGUGAUUGCCAUCACAGGUUGGUAUGUAACGGCAAAGAACGAACCAAUAGGACUCUGCCAUCUAGUAUUCUAUGGCCCAGGUAUUAAAUGUAAUUUUCACUUCUGUCUUAGUUUUUAGCAGCUAUAGAUAGUAAUGCGAUCUAGCAGGGGUCCACAAAAGCAACUUUUAUCAGGUGGCAUAGUGAGAGAGAAGAGAAGGAUGCCGGCUGCGUGAACGCAUAAGGGCAUGUACAAUGGAGGCAGCACCUUGGUGCUGCCCCAGCCAUCCACAUAGGUAAAUUUGAAUGAAGCUAUUGUUGUAUGCCACUAUCACCCAAUGGAAGCUACUCUAUGUGAUGUCAUCAUCUUAUUUUUUCUCUCUCACCUCCUUUCCAACACAUGAAACCUCCACUACAUUUAAACAAUACCAGAAUCUAUUUGAAUUAACAAUAUCAGCAAGCAUACACACUAUAUCAACAAGCAUACACACUGAAAGUUAUCAAACAACUUGAUUUCCAAACAAAAAUCAACAAUCUUGAUAUGCAAACAGUGUCAGUAUGUCUUGUCCAUGACACUACAAAAUCCCAUAGUAACAGAAUAAUCUUAAGGUUUCAAAUACCCAUAAAGGAAAGAUUUGUAAACACACAAAUCAAAUUUCAGACUGAAUUUUUUGUUGUAUCCUUUGAUUCUUCUCAUUCCAAAAAAAAAAUCUCACAUCUUCUACGCUUCCUGGCACAUGAAAUCCGCUUUUUUUGACAUAUAUGUAGAACAUCUACACGAGAAGCAAGCCACAAGUUAGAGUAUAAUAACAAGCAUGUCGAAAACACAGAUUUUUUCUAAGUUGGCCAUUUGGUUUGGCUAGAGCAUUCCCUGUUAAAUUUGCAUGGAGCAACUGACAAUAGUACAAGUAUCCUGCUGUAGUGCAACUACAGUUUUAAAAACUGAAGGUGAGUUUUAUAGCACAACCAUCAUUCUAAUUAAAAAAUAGCAUUUCAAAAACAAUAGUGCAGAUUUUUGGGUACAGUACAGUGUAGAUUUAUGAGUACAAUGCAUAUUUUAAAAACAAUAGUGCAGAUUUCUGGGUACAGUACAGUGUAGAUUUCUGAGUACAAUGCAUAUUUCAAAAACAAUAGUGCAGACUUUUAGUGGAACAUAUAUGUGGACUUCGUAACGAACACAUGCAGAUUCUAGCAUUUGUUUCUAAAGUACAUCAAGUGGUAUGUGUUCUAAGUUAUUAAUCCUAACAAGAAGAGGCAAGGGAAGGAGUAACCUCAUACCUUACAGGGAGAACAAAAUUAGAUCAGGAAUAGGAAAAUGCAAGAGGGGUUUUCCCAUGCGGAACCUUCUACGGAAGUAGUAAUCAGGAUAGGUAGGAUUAUCACAGAAGUAAUCUGCUAUGAGAAGUUCAUUGUAAAAUUCUCUCUUCCUGUCAAUAUAUGUCCUAGGGGCUGACUGACGCCUAGUACUUGGACCUUCUAGUGUAUGAUGAAUGUUUGUGGCUAUUUGUGUAGCAAAGUUGUUGAGAGUAUUCUGUUGUGCCAAGUAAUCUUCUAGAGAGAAAAUUUCUGUUGGGUCAAUGGUAUCAUCUUCGAACUCAUCGGAACUCAAUUGUGACAUAUUGCAAGUUGAGCUACAAUUUAAAAAUCAAGUAAUAAGAAUUAUGCACACAACACACAUGAAACUAUAAUUUGGAUGGGAAGAAUAAUAUUCAUGUGCAAAUAGCAUACUCGGAACUACCAAAGAACAAUAAAAAGAUAGCAAAGUGUCCAAGUGUUCUAAGCUCUUAAUCCUACCAGCUAUUUCUCAAAAAAAGAAAAAAAAUAACACGGAUAUGGCACCUUCAGCAGACUAGCACUACUCUUUCUUUAUCAGUAUAUGCAGCUAGCACAAGGGACCAAAUUGACCAACGUACAUAGAUGUUAUAACAGUCAGAACUCUGUUCAACUUAACUCUAUACCAAAACAUCUUGAUGGCAGUCACAUUUCCUGAAUAAGGCUAGUAAGUCUAGCAAAAGAAUUCAACAUCUGCACCUAGUACAACAACUAAUAGUACCAGCAUCCCUGUGAUUAUGCUAGUCUAAUAAUAUACCAACUACUAGUACAUCUAGCAAAAGAAUUCAGCAUCUGCACCUAGCCAUUAGCAAAUAAAAACAAAGAUGGGGAUUUCAGGAUUUGACAUGUUUCUCUCAGGGCUAGCAAAUCAGCAUCUGCACCUAGCCAUCUGCAUCUGCACCUAGCUAAUUAGCAUAAUUUUCUCUUCACAAUUGCAAAGAGCAGAGUACCAAGGCUGAUCUGACAUGUUUCUCUCAGGGCUAAGAAGAAAAAAGAUGGGGAUUUCAGGAUUUCCACAAGCAUGGUUGCCUGACUCAAAUAGAUUGAACCAAAAUCACACACAGGGGAAUCAAUCUUCUUGGAACGGAUCUGUUCUUGGAACCCUAGCCUAGUUUACUGAGCAAAAUAAAUCUGGCCAUGACCACAAGAAGAAGCAGGGGAAGAACUAGACUCGUACCUUGCAGCAAGAGCUGCAGUCGGAUGUCGACGGCAGGUUGAGGACGAGGUGCGCCGCCUUCUCCGCUGGUUCGCGUGCCGCGCCUCCGCUCCCUGGUUCGCGCGCCGCGCCUCCGCUCCCUGGUUCGCGCGCCGCGACUCCGCUCCCUGGUUCGCGCCCUUCUCUUCUCCCCUUCCCGCCCUUCCCUUCUCUCUUUCGCGCCCUUCCCCUCUCGCUCGCGGGAUUUUGUUGGGCGAGUGUGGUCCCGAAUCGAGCGGAGCGACGGACCUCCCACCGCGUCGCCCCAGCGGCCGCCUCGUUGGUUUCGUCAGCGAAGAAGCGAGUUCUUCUGCAGGAGCCCGUUUCGAUCUCCAAGCCACAGGUUUGGUUGAUGUGGCACUCGGCAGGAGGAGGUGGCACAUGGGGCGCCUGUCCAGCGUGGCCCAUUGGCCAUGCCCUAAUUCUCUCCAACUAAAGGCUUGCACUUUAUUUUCCGUAUGGCAUUUUCAAUGGCUCAUAAGUUGUGAAUCAAAUAUUCAUUUUUUGAUUAUAUAUAUAUAUAUAUAUAUAUAUAUAUAUANNNNNNNNNNNNNNNNNNNNNNNNNNNNNNNNNNNNNNNNNNNNNNNNNNNNNNNNNNNNNNNNNNNNNNNNNNNNNNNNNNNNNNNNNNNNNNNNNNNNNNNNNNNNNNNNNNNNNNNNNNNNNNNNNNNNNNNNNNNNNNNNNNNNNNNNNNNNNNNNNNNNNNNNNNNNNNNNNNNNNNNNNNNNNNNNNNNNNNNNNNNNNNNNNNNNNNNNNNNNNNNNNNNNNNNNNNNNNNNNNNNNNNNNNNNNNNNNNNNNNNNNNNNNNNNNNNNNNNNNNNNNNNNNNNNNNNNNNNNNNNNNNNNNNNNNNNNNNNNNNNNNNNNNNNNNNNNNNNNNNNNNNNNNNNNNNNNNNNNNNNNNNNNNNNNNNNNNNNNNNNNNNNNNNNNNNNNNNNNNNNNNNNNNNNNNNNNNNNNNNNNNNNNNNNNNNNNNNNNNNNNNNNNNNNNNNNNNNNNNNNNNNNNNNNNNNNNNNNNNNNNNNNNNNNNNNNNNNNNNNNNNNNNNNNNNNNNNNNNNNNNNNNNNNNNNNNNNNNNNNNNNNNNNNNNNNNNNNNNNNNNNNNNNNNNNNNNNNNNNNNNNNNNNNNNNNNNNNNNNNNNNNNNNNNNNNNNNNNNNNNNNNNNNNNNNNNNNNNNNNNNNNNNNNNNNNNNNNNNNNNNNNNNNNNNNNNNNNNNNNNNNNNNNNNNNNNNNNNNNNNNNNNNNNNNNNNNNNNNNNNNNNNNNNNNNNNNNNNNNNNNNNNNNNNNNNNNNNNNNNNNNNNNNNNNNNNNNNNNNNNNNNNNNNNNNNNNNNNNNNNNNNNNNNNNNNNNNNNNNNNNNNNNNNNNNNNNNNNNNNNNNNNNNNNNNNNNNNNNNNNNNNNNNNNNNNNNNNNNNNNNNNNNNNNNNNNNNNNNNNNNNNNNNNNNNNNNNNNNNNNNNNNNNNNNNNNNNNNNNNNNNNNNNNNNNNNNNNNNNNNNNNNNNNNNNNNNNNNNNNNNNNNNNNNNNNNNNNNNNNNNNNNNNNNNNNNNNNNNNNNNNNNNNNNNNNNNNNNNNNNNNNNNNNNNNNNNNNNNNNNNNNNNNNNNNNNNNNNNNNNNNNNNNNNNNNNNNNNNNNNNNNNNNNNNNNNNNNNNNNNNNNNNNNNNNNNNNNNNNNNNNNNNNNNNNNNNNNNNNNNNNNNNNNNNNNNNNNNNNNNNNNNNNNNNNNNNNNNNNNNNNNNNNNNNNNNNNNNNNNNNNNNNNNNNNNNNNNNNNNNNNNNNNNNNNNNNNNNNNNNNNNNNNNNNNNNNNNNNNNNNNNNNNNNNNNNNNNNNNNNNNNNNNNNNNNNNNNNNNNNNNNNNNNNNNNUUUGGAAUGAAUGACAUAUCUCUUUUGAAACAAGUAGUUUUUGAAAAAUGAGUGAAAUGGUAAAGUUAAGACUUGUCCAAAUGUAUCUGUGAUUGAUCUUGUUAUGGAUACACAAAUAUAUUAAAAAACAUUCAAAAAGAGAUAUGUCAUUCAUUCCAAAAACAUAUUUCACUUAUUAAAAAACUGAUUUCUCUCAUUGAAAAUAUGGAUUUCACUCUGUUUAGAAAAUAACAUUUUCACUCAUUUCAUAAAAGUGAUUUUAAUCAGUAUAGUUAUAUUUCACAAAUAUCAGUUGGUCAGUUUGACUAACGAUUUCUCUCAUUUAUGUGAAAUUGAUAUUAAAAAUGUGAAACUGGUUUUUUCAGUAAUGCAAAACAGAUGGUAUCAAACUACAAAAGAAAUAUUUUUCAAUACAAGCAAAACUAUUUUUUCUUCAAAUAUGUGUGUUUCAGUGAUGAGUAGAUGUGAAAUAUAUAUGACUUGUAGUAAAAAGAUGUGAAAUAGAUUUCAAUUUUAUUGAGAAUGUAAGAUUGUUUAUAUCAAAAUAUCUGAAAUCAAUGUCAUCCAAAAUAUAUGAAACAAAUUGGUCCACUUGAAAAAGGUGAAGCCGAUAUCUUACAAAAUAGGAACUGGAUUCUUACAAAAUAUGUGGAGCAGAUUGUAAUAAAAUUGUUUUCGCUCAGUUCAAAACACAGAAUUCACUCAUUUCACUCGAUUUCACCCAUUUCUAAAAAAAACUAUUCUACUCAUUACUUAAAAGUAGAGAAUGUGCAAUAUAUUCAAAACAGGGAUUUCAUUCAUAUCGAAACACUUAUUUCACUUAAUUUGAAGGACUGAUUUCAUUCAAUUGAAAAACAUAAUUUCACUCAUUUCCAGGAAAGACAGAGUCCAUUAGUUUAAAACAACAUAUUUCACUCAUAUCAAGAUUUCACUUGUUUGAAAAUAAAAAAUAAUUUCACUCAUUUGAGAACAUCCAGUCUUUUGAAAAAACUAAUUUCACUAAAAACUAAAACUAAAACCAAGAUUUCACUAAAAUUAAUAGAGUUCACUCAUUGGUGUUGUUCUAAGCAGUUACUCUCAUGGUGGCACGCCGCUCUUCACUGAUAGAUGUUGGUGUAGUUUUUUUUAUAUAGUAGACAAAUUUGGUUUAACCAUGUAUCUGUUGAUUAUUCAUCUUAUUUAUUUUAUUUCAUGUAAGGAAAUAAUGGAAAAGUAGAAGUUAGUGUGUAUAGGUAAUUAAUGAGUUCUGAAGUUUUCGCAUAUCCUAACCAGAAAGGAGAGCAAAGUUCGUCUGGUUGUAUACUCAAGAAGUAGGAGUUAUGUGUGUAGCAGAACAUAAGUGGAAUCGAAAUGGAUGAGAGUAUUAUUUAUGUUGAAAACAUGAAAAUAAUAGAAUGGUGAACUCUCCUACUUGCCGCAUUUACAAAAUUUUCCUCUUUCCUAUUGAAGGAGACCAUGUGGUCCAAAACAUCUAUUUGCACUAUUACUGUCACCAUGACGAAGAUGUGAAGACAGUGGCAUAUAUACAAUAGUAGAUCAGCGAUUGUGUGCGUUGUUGUGUGCAUAUAUUUUUCGAUGGAGAAAUGAAACAUGGAGGUUUAAUUACAUAAUCACAUACCCUAUUGUGCUAAGGUUGGCAUGAAAAUUAACAGUACCAAACCCACAUUAAAGGUAGGUCAAAACUAAUGUAGAACUAUUAACUUAUAUUUUUACUAAGUAGUAAACUAUGUUAACGAAAGUUGAGAAAAACAUGGGUCAAUAAACAAACAAAAUAAAUAAAUAAUCAUAACUUGUACAAGAUAUACAUGUGUGCAGUGCGCUAACAGGUUACAUCAGAAGAAAAUUUCCUCCACAUUAUAACUGAAACUAACAAAGGAGUAUAUUUAACAGGAGCUACUUAUUGUUAAAAUGGUGAGCUCACAUUGUGUCCGGGGUUGAAUACAAAUUGAAGAGUCUUAUGCAAGCUCAGUGACUCUCGGUUUGAAAAUGUGCAUUAUGCUUUGUUAGUUUACUACUUUGCUUGUGUCAAAACAUUCAAGGAACUUUAAAUAAUCACAAUAUGAACUCAAAGUAUGGCUGGAGAACAGGGAAUCAAAAUGUUGACAUGACGACAAACAUAUCAAUGCAGUAUAUUUCUUAAAAUUAGCACAUUAUUAGUGUAUAACAAUGAAUAUAGCAGACAUCUUAACUAUCAAGUCGGACCAUACCCAUAUAAACUGGAGGACUGAGAAUAUUUUUAUUUGUUCGAUUCUACCCAAAAGUAUCAAGAAAAAGAAUCAUCACCAAGCCAUAAUAAGAUAGGUGGGGCGCAGAGUCCAUGUCUAUCUAGACCCCAGCUCAGAAUCAUUGAAUCUUUUUGACACAACCAAGAAGUAGCCAGAUUAUAUGUCCACCCUUCCAGGAUUAGCAAAAUAAGGCUGACAGUAUUCGUCAAGUAUAGUUUCGAUAUGCUUCUCUAAAUAAGCCUAGUACGAUUCUUGAGCCCAUCCAGUGUUCGAAAGCGAAGGUAUGACAUCGGUCAAAGAUAAUAAAGUUCCAAACAUCCUGAUAACAUCACAAAAACAGAGACGCAUUGAUGAUUCACCUGAUAAAAACAUGGAAACUAAUGAAUUGAUACUUAUCCUGGAAAUGUGUGUAUAUUGUCACAAGAGGACCACAAUCACAACAUAGUAAGUAUAAUUACAAUGGAAACUUAAACUGUGCAAGUGCAUACAGAGAUUUAUCUCCCUGCUGCAGCUCGAUAAGAAAGUUCUAUUCUAUGUCUAUAGUAGACCAAGAGUUUAUCUGGAAGAAUUAUUUCCUUUAUCCACUUGUGCUCAACAAUAAAAGCAUUAUCAAGGACGUCCAACUACUGAAUUGUGCAUCUUAUAGUUGUAAAACUGUAUAUUCAAUAGAGAUGUCAACAAUUUGUUUUUUUAAUAGAUAGGUGGGUUCUAUACUCACUAAUUUUAAGUGCCACAUAAAGGGUAUAUUUAUUAGUUCUUAGAAGCUAGACAUUUGUGUUCAUAAGGGAGAAAAAUCACCCAAAACUAAUUAUUUCAUGUACAUAUAGCAUUCACCUAGUUGAUGGAGUAAAAUAAUCAUCAAGCGCGGUUGUUAGACGGAAUUGUCAAACAUCAACAAAAAUGAACAAUAACAGUAGCGGCGGGGUUUGAGAAACCUGAGCUUACUGAAUCUGGACACAAGGAUGAAGUGCCGAUGUGCUUGUUGCAGAAUCACAUUAAGGAGAAGCAAAAAUGCAUGCCAUGAAAAAUUGAUAGAUUGUCAUUUAUAUACCAUCUGCAUUUUUGUUAUUGAACAAAUUAAAGGGAUGUGUGUCCAGAAUGCAAAUUACUCACUCUGUAAAGAAAUAUAAGAGUGUUUAAAUCACUAAAAUAAUGAUCUAAACAAUCUUAUAUUUAUUUACGGAGGGAGUAGUAUACAUGUACGCAAUCACACAAAUAUCACGGUAUUAGUCAAGUGCACAGUGUAGUGAUAUUAGGCCUGCAACCUGCAGAAGCAUUUGUUAAAUUCUUUUAAAAGGAUUUUGAAAUAACAAUUGGCCUCUAGUUAGCAACUUCAAGGACGGUAGUUACAGAAAAUACCAGAUUCAGUCAUUCAGAGUUCAAUCGGGAUAUGUACAUACCAGAAGUUAUCAUGUGCCUUUCAAGCGGAUGACUUCGCUGGAGAGGAUGUCCACCUUGUCUGCAUUGACCUCGGCGAUCUUCGUGUCAUUGUCUACAUGGCCGAGCUCAGCCUUAUUUGGCCUCGGUGGACGGUGGUCAUCAAAAGCUCACGCAUGAACCUCUCUAACUCCUCUAUCAUGGUGAACAUCAUCUCCAAGUCCGCCACAUGCUGGCCGCGCACGCAGUCAACCUCCCUCUACCAGUCCUCCCACUUCUGCACCUCGUCGUCGAUGCCCUUCUCGUCUGGCCGGAACUUCUCGAUCUCGGUGGCCUCCUCGGCCCACCACUUGGUGUCGUGGUGCGCGCACGGCAGAUGCCAAGGGAUGGCUAAAGAGAGGAAGAGGCUCGAAGGCACUGGUGGGCUCCAGAGGCGAGGUCGGCAUGAGCGAGCACGGGACGCAAGACAUACCUAGGUUCAGGGCUCUCCGGAGAGAUAACACCCCUAGUCCUGCCGAGUGUGGUUUAUAUGUGACAGUACAGAGUUGAUCCUAGAGCUGUAUCGAGGAAGAAGGGAAGCAGGACAAGGCUUAGGCUGCUCCCUCUCCUUGUGUGUGUUCUCUACUGAUCGGAUCUCUUCACCCCCAUGCAUGGAGGCCUCCUAGGGGGUUUUAUAGGUCAACUAAAGGAAAUAUGCCCUAGAGGCAAUAAUAAAGUUAUUAUUUAUUUCCUUAUUUCAUGAUAAAUGUUUAUUAUUCAUGCUAGAAUUGUAUUAACCGGAAACAUAAUACAUGUGUGAAUACAUAGACAAACAGAGUGUCACUAGUAUGCCUCUACUUGACUAGCUCGUUAAUCAAAGAUGGUUAUGUUUCCUAGCCAUGGACAAAGAGUUGUUAUUUAAUUAACGGGAUCACAUCAUUAGUUGAAUGAUCUGAUUGACAUGACCCAUUCCAUUAGCUUAGCACCCGAUCGUUUAGUAUGUUGCUAUUGCUUUCUUCAUGACUUAUACAUGUUCCUAUGACUAUGAGAUUAUGCAACUCCCGUUUGCCGGAGGAACACUUUGUGUGCUACCAAACGUCACAACGUAACUGGGUGAUUAUAAAGGAGCUCUACAGGUGUCUCCAAAGGUACAUGUUGGGUUGGCGUAUUUCGAGAUUAGGAUUUGUCACUCCGAUUGUCGGAGAGGUAUCUCUGGGCCCUCUCGGUAAUGCACAUCACAUAAGCCUUGCAAGCAUUGCAACUAAUGAGUUAGUUGCGGGAUGAUGUAUUACGGAAUGAGUAAAGAGACUUGCUGGUAACGAGAUUGAACUAGGUAUUGGAUACCGACGAUCGAAUCUCGGGCAAGUAACAUACCGAUGACAAAGGGAACAACGUAUGUUGUUAUGCGGUCUGACCGAUAAAGAUGUUCAUAGAAUAUGUAGGAGCCAAUAUGGGUAUCCAGGUCCCGCUAUUGGUUAUUGACCGGAGACAUGUCUCGGUCAUGUCUACAUUGUUCUCAAACCUGUAGGGUCCGCACGCUUAAGGUUUUUAUGACAGUUAUAUUAUGAGUUUAUGAGUUUUGAUGUACCGAAGGAGUUCGGAGUCCUGGAUGAGAUCGGGGACAUGACGAGGAGUCUCGAAAUGGUCGAGACGUAAAGAUCGAUAUAUUGGACGACUAUAUUCGGACAUCGGAAAGGUUCUGAGUGGUUCGGGUAUUUUUCGGAGUACCGGGGAGUUACGGAAUUACGGGGGAGAAGUAUUGGGCCUUAUUGGGCCAUACGGGAAAGAGAGAGGGGCUGCCUAGGGCAGGUCGCGCCCCCCCCCCCCCAAGGCCUAGUCCGAAUUUGACUAGGGGGAGGGGCUGCGCCCCCUCCUUCCUUGCCUACUCCUUUCCUCUUCCUUGUCUCCUACUCGUACUACAUGGAAGGAAUCCUAGUUGGACUAGGAAAGGGGAAAUCCUACUCCCGGUGGGAGUAGGACUCCCUAGGGCGCGCCAUAGAGAGGGCCGGCCCUCCCCUCCUCCACUCCUUUAUAUACGGCGGUAGGGGGCACCCCAUAGACACACAAGUUGAUCUUCGUGAUCGUUCCUUAGCCGUGUGCGGUGCCCCCCUCCACGAUAUUACACCUCGGUCAUAUUGUAGCGGUGCUUAGGCGAAGCCCUGCGACAGUAGAACAUCAAGAUCGUCACCACGCCAUCGUGCUGACGGAACUCCUCCUCGAAGCUUUGCUGGAUCGGAGCCCGGGGAGCGUCAUCGAGCUGAACGUGUGCAGAACUCAGAGGUGCCGUCCGUUCGGUGCUUGGAUCGGUCGGAUCGAGAAGACGUACGACUACUUCCUCUACGUUGUGUCAACGCUUCCGCUUCGGUCUACGAGGGUACAUAGACAACACUCUCCCCUCUCAUUGCUAUGCAUCACCAUGAUCUUGCGUGUGCGUAGGAAUUUUUUUGAAAUUACUACGUUCCCCAACAGUGGCAUCCGAGUCUAGGUUUUAUUGUUUGAUGUUAUAUGCACGAGUAGAACACAAGUGAGUUGUGGGCGAUAUAAGUCAUUACUGCUUACCAGCAUGUCAUACUUUGGUUCGGCGGUAUUGUUGGAUGAAGCGGCCCGGACCGACAUUACGCGUACGCUUACGCGAGACCGGUUCUCCCGACGUGUUUUGCACAUAGGUGGCUUGCGGGUGACAGUUUCUCCAACUUUAGUUGAACCGAGUGUGGCUACGCCCGGUCCUUGCGAAGGUUAAAACAGCACCAACUUGACAAACUAUCGUUGUGGUUUUGAUGCGUAGGUAAGAUUGGUUCUUGCUUAAGCCCGUAGUAGCCACGUAAAACUUGCAACAACAAAGUAGAGGACGUCUGACUUGUUUUUGCAGGGCAUGUUGUGAUGUGAUAUGGUCAAAACGUGAUGAGAUAUAAGUUGUUGUAUGAGAUGAUCAUGUUUUGUUGAAGUUAUCAGCAACUGGCAAAAUCCUUAUGGUUGUCUCUUUAUUGCAUAAGAUGCAAGCGCUCAAUAAUUGCUUUACUUUAUCGCUAUGCGAUAGCAAUAGUUGCAAGAGCAAUUGUUGGCGAGACGACCACGUGACGACACAUUGAUAUAGAUCAAGAUGAUGGAGAUCAUAGUGUCAUGCCGGUGAUGAUAGAGAUCAUGAAAGUACUUUGGAGAUGGAAAUCAAAGGCACAUGAUGAUGAUGGCCAUAUCAUGUCACAUAUUUUGAUUGCAUGUGAUGUUUAUCUUUUAUGCAUCUUAUCUUGCUUUGAUUGACGGUAGCAUUAUAAGAUGAUCUCUCACUAAAUUAUCAAGAUAAAAGUGUUCUCCCUGAGUAUGCACCGUUGCCCAAGUUCGUCGUGCCCAGACACCACGUGAUGAUCGGGUGUGAUAAGCUCUACGUCCAUCUACAACGGGUGCAAGCCAGUUUUGCACACGCAGAAUACUCAGGUUAAACUUGACAAGCCUAGCAUAUGCAGAUAUGGCCUCGGAACACUGAGACUGAAAGGUCGAGCGUGAAUCAUAUAGUAGAUAUGAUCAACAUAGUGAUGUUCACCAUUGAAAGCUACUCCAUUUCACGUGAUGAUCGGUUAUGGUUUAGUUGAGUUGGAUCACGUGAUCACUUAGAGGAUUAGAGGGAUGUCUAUCUAAGUGGGAGUUCUUAAGUAAUAUGAUUAAUUGAACUUAAAUUUAUCAUGAACUUAGUCCUGGUAGUAUUUUGCAAAUCAUGUUGCAGAUCAAUAGCUCGCAUUGUUGCUUCCCUGUGUUUAUUUUGAUAUGUUCCUAGAGAAAAUUGUGUUGAAAGAUGUUAGUAGCAAUGAUGCGGAUUGGAUCCGUGAUCUGAGGUUUAUCCUCAUUGCUGCACAGAAGAAUUAUGUCCUUGAUGCACCGCUAGGUGACAGACCUAUUGCAGGAGCAUAUGCAGACGUUAUGAACGUUUGGCUAGCUCAAUAUGAUGACUACUUAAUAGUUUAGUGCACCAUGCUUAACGACUUAGAAUCGGGACUUCAAAAGACGUUUUGAAUGUCAUGGACCAUAUGAGAUGUUCCAGGAGUUGAAGUUAAUAUUUCAAGCAAAUACCCGAAUUGAGUGAUAUGAAGUCUCCAACAAGUUCUAUAGCCAAAAGAUGGAGGAGAAUCGCUCAACCAGUGAGCAUGUGCUUAGAUUGUCUGGGUACUACAAUCGCUUGAAUCAAGUGGGAGUUAAUCUUCCAGAUAAGAUAGUGAUUGACAGAAUUCUCUAGUCACCAUCACCAAGUUAGUAGAACUUCGUGAUGAACUAUAGUAUGCAAGGGAUGAUGAAAACAACUCCCGAGCUUUUCAUGAUGAUGAAAUCGAUGAAGGUAGAAAUCAAGAAAGAGCAUCAAGUGUUGAUGGUAGACAAGACCACUAGUUUCAAUAAAAGGGCAAAGGGAAGAAGGGGAACUUCAAGAAGAACGGCAAGCAAGUUGCUGCUUAAGUGAAGAAGCCCAAGUCUGGUCCUAAGCCCGAGACUAAGUGCUUCUACUGCAAAGGGACUUGUCACUGGAAGCGGAACUGCCCCAAGUAUUUGGCGGAUAAGAAGGAUGGCAAAGUGAACAAAGGUAUAUUUGAUAUACAGAUUAUUAAUGUGUAUUUUACUAGUGUUCGUAGCAACCCCUCGGUAUUGAUACUGGUUCAGUUGCUAAGAGUAAUAACUCGAAACGGGAGUUGCAGAAUGAACAGAAACUAGUUAAGGGUGAAGUGACGAUGUGUGUUGGAAGUACUUCCAAGAUUGAUAUGAUCAUCAUCGCACACUCCCUAUACUUUCGGGAUUAGUGUUGAACCUGAAUAAGUGUUAUUUGGUGUUUGCGUUGAGCAUGAAUAUGAUUUGAUCAUGUUUAUUGUAAUAUGAUUAUUCAUUUAAGUAAGAGAAUAAAUUGUUGUUCUGUUUACAUGAAUAAAACCUUAUAUGGUUACACACCCAAUGAAAAUAGUUCGUUGGUUCUCGAUCGUAGUGAUACACAUAAUCAUAAUAUUGAAACCAAAAGAUGCAAAGUUAAUAAUGAUAGUGCAACUUAUUUGUGGCACUGCCUUUAGGUCAUAUUAGUGUAUAGCGCAUGAAGAAACUCCAUGCUGAUGGGCUUUUGGAAUCACUUGAUUAUGAAUCACUUGAUGCUUGCGAACCAUGCCUGAUGGGCAAGAUGACUAAGACUCCGUUCUCCGGAACAAUGGAGCGAGCAACUGACAUAUUGGAAAUAAUACAUACUGAUGUAUGCGAUCCGAUGAGUGUUAAGGCUCGCAGCGGGUAUCGUUAUUUUCUAACCUUCACAGAUGAUUUGAGCAGAUAUGGGUAUAUCUACUUGAUGAAACAUAAGUCUGAAACAUUUGAAAAAGUUCAAAGAAUUUCAGAGUGAAGUGGAAAAUCAUCGUGACAAGAAAAUAAAAGUUUCUAUGAUAUGAUCGCAGAGGUAAAAUAUUUGAGUUACGAGUUUGGCCUUCAAUUAAAACAAUGUGAAAUAGUUUCACUACUCACGCCACCUGGAACACCAUAGUGUAAUGGUGUGUCCGAACGUCAUAACCAUACUAUAUUGGAUAUAGUACAAUCUAUGAUGUCUCUUACCGAUCUACUACUAUCGUUUUUGGGGUUAUGCAUUAAAGACAUCUGCAUUCACGUUAAAAAGGGCACCAUCUAAGUCCGUUGAGACAACACAAUCUGAACUGUGGUUUGGCAAGAAACCAAAGUUGUCGUUUCUUAAAGUUUGGGAUUGUGAUGCUUAUAUGAAAAGGUUUCAGCAUGAUAAGCUCAAACCCAAAUCGGAGAAAUGUGUCUUCAUAGGAUACCCAAAGGAGACAGUUGGGUACACCUUCUAUCACAGAUCCGAAGGCAAAUUCGUUGCUGAGAAUGGAUCCUUUCCAGAGAAGGAGUUUCUCUCGAAAGAAGUGAGUGGGAGGAAAGUAGAAAACUUGAUAAGGUAAUUGUACCUUCUCCCUUAUUGGAAAUUAGUUCAUCACAAAAAUCUGUUCUUGUGACUACUACACCAAUUAGUGAGGAAGCUAAUGAUGAUGAUCAUGUAACUUCAGAUCAAGUUACUACCGAAUCUCGUAGGUAAUCCUGUUCUGGAAGUCAUGUUACUAGACCAUGACGAACUUGUGAACUAUAAGGAAGCGAUGAUGAGCCCAGAUUCCGCAAAAUGGCUUGAGGCCAUGAAAUCUGAGAUGAGAUCCAUGUAAGAAAACAAAGUAUGGACUUUGAUUGACUUGCCCAAUGAUCGACGAGCCAUUGAGAUUAAAUGGAUCUUCAAGAGGAAGACGAACGCUGAUAGUAGUGUUACUAUCUACAAAGCUAGAAUUGUCGCAAAAGGUUUUCGACAAGUUCAAGGUGUUGACUACGAUGAGAGUUUCUCACUCGUAUCUAUGCUUAAGUCUGUCCGAAUCAUGUUAGCAAUUGCCGCAUUUUAUGAAAUCUGGCAAAUGGAUAAACAAAACUGCAUUCCUUAAUGGAUUUAUUAAAGAAGAGUUGUAUGUGAUGCAACAAGAUGGUUUUGUCAAUCCUAAAGGUGCUAACAAAAUAUGCAAGCUCCAGUGACCCAUUUAUGGACUGGUGCAAGCAUCUCGGAGUUGGAAUAUACGCUUUGAUAAGUUGAUCAAAGCAUAUAGUUUUAUACAGACUUGCGGUGAAGCCUGUAUUUACAAGAAAGUGAGUGGGAGCUCUGUAGCAUUUCUGAUAUUAUAUGUGGAUGACAUAUUACUGAUUGGAAAUGAUAUAGAAUUUCUGGAUAGCAUAAAGGGAUACUUGAAUAAGAGUUUUUCAAUGAAAGACCUCGGUGAAGCUGCUUUCAUAUAAGGCAUAAAGAUCUAUAGAGAUAGAUCAAAACUCUUAAUUGGACUUUCACAAAGCACAUACCUUGACAAGAUUUUGAAGAAGUUCAAAAUGGAUCAAGCAAAGAAAGGGUUCUUGCCUGUGUUACAAGGUGUGAAGUUAAGUCAGACUCAAAGCCCGACCACGGUAGAAGAUAGAAAGCGAAUGAAAGUCAUUCCCUAUGCCUUGGCCAUAGGUUCUAUAAAGUAUGUCAUGCUGUGUACCAGAUCUAUUGUAUACCCUGCACUGAUUUGGCAAGGGAGUACAAUAGUGAUCUAGGAGUAGAUCACUUGACAGCGGUCAGAAUUAUCCUUAGUGAAAUAAGGAUAUGUUUCUCGAUUAUGGACGUGACAAAAAGGUUCGUCGUAAAGGGUUACGUCAAUGCAAGUUUUUGACACUGAUCGAGAUGAUUCUAAGUCUCAAUCUGGAUACAUAUUGAAAGUGGGAGUAGUUAGCUAGAGUAGCUCCGUGCAGAGCAUUGUAGACAUAGAAUUUUGCAAAAUACAUACGGAUCUGAAUUUGGCAGGCCGGUUGACUAAAUUUCUCUCACAAGCAAAACAUGAUCACUCUUUGGGUGUUAAUCACAUAGCGAUGUGAACUAGAUUAUUGAAUCUAGUAAGCCCUUUGGGUGUUAGUCACAUGGAGAUGUGAACCAAUCACAUAAAGAUGUGAACUAUUGGUGUUAAUCACAUAGCGAUGUGAACUAGAUUAUUGACUCUAGUGCAAGUGGGAGACUGAAGGAAAUAUGCCCAAGAGGCAAUAAUAAAGUUAUGAUUUAUUUCCUUAUUUCAUGAUAAAUGUUUAUUAUUCAUGCUAGAAUUGUAUUAACCGGAAACAUAAUACAUGUGUGAAUACAUAGACAAACAAAGUGUCACUAGUAUGCCUCUACUUGAUUAGCUCGUUAAUCAAAUAUGGUUAUGUUUCCUAACCAUGGACAAAGAGUUGUUAUUUAAUUAACGGGAUCACAUCAUUAGUUGAAUGAUCUGAUUGACAUGACCCAUUCCAUUAGCUUAGCACCCGAUCAUUUAGUAUGUUGCUAUUGCUUUCUUCAUGACUUAUACAUGUUCCUAUGACUAUGAGAUUAUGCAACUCCCGUUUGCCGGAGGAACACUUUGUGUGCUACCAAACGUCAUAACGUAACUGGGUGAUUAUAAAGGAGCUCUACAAGUGUCUCCAAAGGUACAUGUUGGGUUGGCGUAUUUCGAGAUUAGGAUUUGUCACUUCGAUUGUCAGAGAGGUAUCUCUGGGCCAUCUCGGUAAUGCACAUCACAUAAGCCUUGCAAGCAUUGCAACUAAUGAGUUAGUUGCAGGAUGAUGUAUUACGGAACAAGUAAAGAGACUUGCUGGUGACGAGAUUGAACUAUGUAUUGGAUACCGACGAUCGAAUCUCAGGCAAGUAACAUACCGAUGACAAAGGGAACAGCGUAUGUUGUUAUGCGGUCUGACCAAUAAAGAUCUUCGUAGAAUAUGUAGGAGCCAAUAUGGGCAUCGAGGUCCCGCUAUUGGUUAUUGAUCGGAGACAUGUCUCUGUCAUGUCUCGAACCCGUAGGGUCCGCACGCUUAAGGUUUCGAUGACAGUUAUAUUAUGAGUUUAUGAGUUUUGAUGUACCGAAGGAGUUCAGUGUCCCGGAUGAGAUCGGGGACAUGACGAGGAGUCUCGAAAUGGUCGAGACAUAAAGAUCGAUAUAUUGGACGACUAUAUUCGGACAUCGAAAAGGUUCUGAGUGGUUCGGGUAUUUUUCGGAGUACCGGGGAAUUACGGGAUUACGGGGGAAAAGUAUUGGGCCUUAUUGGGCCAUACGGGAAAGAGAGAGGGGCUGCCUAGGGCAGGCCGCGCCCCCCCCCCCAAGGCCUAGUCCGAAUUGGACUAGGGGGAGGGCUGCGCCCCCUCCUUCCUUCCCUACUCCUUUCCUCUUCCUUGUCUCCUACUCCUACUACAUGGAAGGAAUCCUAGUUGGACUAGGAAAGGGGGAAUCCUACUCCCGGUGGGAGUAGGACUCCCUAGGGCGCGCCAUAGAGAGGGCCGGCCCUCCCCUCCUCCACUCCUUUAUAUACGGGGGCAGGGGGCACCCCAUAGACACACAAGUUGAUCUUCGUGAUCGUUCCUUAGCCGUGUGCGGUGCCCCCCUCCACGAUAUUACACCUCGUUCAUAUUGUAGCGGUGCUUAGGCGGAGCCCUGCGACAGUAGAACAUCAAGAUCGUCACCACGCUGUCGUGCUGAUGGAACUCCUCCCCGAAGCUUUGCUGGAUCGGAGCCCGGGGAGCGUCAUCGAGCUGAACGUGUGCAGAACUCGGAGGUGCCGUCCGUUCGGUGCUUGGAUCGGUCGGAUCGAGAAGACGUACGACUACUUCCUCUACGUUGUGUCAACGCUUCCGCUUCGGUCUACGAGGGUACGUAGACAACACUCUCCCCUCUCGUUGCUAUGCAUCACCAUGAUCUUGCGUGUGCGUAGGAAAUUUUUUGAAAUUACUACCUUCCCCAACAUCAACCCCCCAGGGGUACAAUGGUAGUGUUACAAGGCCAUGGGGACAGGUUGUCAUCGUCCGGGAAGCCGGUGUUGGGACCCGCCGGGUGUCAGGGCUCGCCUUGUUCUUCGGGCACGGGACCUGCCGGGUGUAGGGGCACUGUUUGCCGUCUUGUCAAUCGUCAGGGAGUGGCCGGGUUGAGUCCGCUACAGUGGCGCUCCGUCAGUUCACCGCUUGCUGGCGUCAGCAGUGACGAAGGGUGCACUGUAGCCACGCCAACCCUGGUCAGCGGGUAGGUGAGGCACUAUUGCCAUGCCCGGGCUGAGCAGAGGCAUGGGAGGGGCACUGUUGCCUCGCUCAUCUCUGAAUGAAGACUCGUCCCAUCGUACGGCUGGGAUGGGACGGGAGCUGACCCGCGGCUGGGUUAGGGAACACGCCAAGGGGGAGCUGGCUUGUUGGAGAAGUCAUCGUGCGUCGGGUUCGGCUGCUUUGCGCCGGCCGUUGGGGCCGGGUUGGUAAAUUCGGCCGGGUCGAGGUGCUUUGGCCGGGUUGAGCGACCCGGCCAAGCGUGAGCCGGCUUGAGGGGCGUUGCUGGCCCCGUUGUUUUUGAAAAGGAUCCGCGUUCCGUUGCCUGCCUUGGGUUCAUCCCCACGACAGUAGUCUCCGAAGCUGUGAAGGUAUGCCGUCUUUGAGUGGGAGGGCCUUCACAGGUUCCCCCCCUGAAGAGGCGAAUUUGGUGACCGCCGGGUCCGACAACACCCACUGUGUGCCGGCUUCUGGAAGCCGGAUCAUGGCAUCCCGGCAGGGGCGGGAAACCGAAGAGUCCGCCAAAUAUUGAGGCAAUCUCUUGGGCUUCGCGUGGGCGCCACGUGGCGCCUAGGAGCCGGAGGGGCCUGACGGGCCACACGCGGCAGGACGGGGCGACGCGCUGGGGCCCGUCGCCGCACGCCCUCGGCCCACGCGCGUGGAUUUAUUGCGGUGUCCGCGGGUCGGUUGCCCUUCUCGACGCAGUUAUUGCGCGCGUACGGGCACAGUUAUUGCGGGGAAGUGGGAGGGGCGAGCACAAAUGAUCCCACUUCCCCACGUCCAAACCGUGCGUUAUAAAUUGGGGGGAGGGGUGGCGGAAAUCAUUCUUGCUCGCACUCCCCUGCCUCUUUAUCCUUCCUCUGCUUCUUGCGACCGCAGCGCGCUGCGACGCCCAUCGCUCCGAGCAGAGCUUCAUCCCCGUUCUUUCUCCUUUCCUUUCUUCGUCUUCUUCGACGGCGCUGCCGUCGGGCUCGUGGAUGGGCUUGACCAUCACCCUGGACGACGUCUCCUAUCUCUGCACCACCCGACGCUUGCCGGGGGAGACGGAGGUCGUCGUGCGCCUGCCGCAGGGCGAGCAGGAGCCGCAGCCCGAGGGCACGGAGCGCGUGGUCUUCUUCCUGCACUUCAAGCGCGGGUUCAGUCUUCCUGCGAGCGCCUCCCUCUGUCUUGGUCUCCUUCAACUAGGGACUGAUCAGAUUCCAGUUGAUUUCAUUCGUGGUAGAUGCUUAUCAUGUUGGAAAUAUGCCCUAGAGGCAAUAAUAAAAGCAUUAUUAUAUUUCCUUGUUCAUGAUAAUUGUCUUUUAUUCAUGCUAUAAUUGUGUUAUCCGGAAAUCGUAAUACAUGUGUGAAUUCAUAGACACCAACAUGUCCCUAGUAAGCCUCUAGUUGACUAGCUCGUUGAUCAACAGAUAGUCAUGGUUUCCUGACUAUGGACAUUGGAUGUCAUUGAUAACGAGAUCACAUCAUUAGGAGAAUGAUGUGAUGGACAAGACCCAAUCCUAAACAUAGCACAAGAUCGUAUAGUUCGUUUGCUAGAGUUUUUCCAAUGUCAAGUAUCUUUUCCUUAGACCAUGAGAUUGUGUAACUCCCGGAUACCGUAGGAGUGCUUUGGGUGUACCAAACGUCACAACGUAACUGGGUGACUAUAAAGGUAUACUACGGGUAUCUCCGAAAGUGUCUGUUGGGUUGACACGGAUCAAGACUGGGAUUUGUCACUCCGUAUGACGGAGAGGUAUCUCUGGUCCCACUCGGUAAUGCAUCAUCAUAAUGAGCUCAAAGUGACCAAGUGUCUGGUCACGGGAUCAUGCAUUACGGUACGAGUAAAGUGACUUGCCGGUAACGAGAUUGAAUGAGGUAUUGGGAUACCGACGAUCGAAUCUCGGGAAAGUAACAUACCGAUUGACAAAGGGAAUUGUAUACGGGAUUGCUUGAAUCCUCGACAUCGUGGUUCAUCCGAUGAGAUCAUCGAGGAGCAUGUGGGAGCCAACAUGGGUAUCCAGAUCCCGCUGUUGGUUAUUGACCGGAGAACCGUCUCGGUCAUGUCUACAUGUCUCCCGAACCCGUAGGGUCUACACACUUAAGGUUCGGUGAUGCUAGGGUUGUAGAGAUAUGAAUAUGCAGUAACCCGAAAGUUGUUUGGAGUCCCGGAUGAGAUCUCGGACGUCACGAGGAGUUCCGGAAUGGUCCGGAGGUGAAGAAUUAUAUAUAGGAAGUGCAGUUUCGGCCAUCAGGAGAGUUUCGGGGGUCACUGGUAUUGUAUCGGGACCACCGGAUAGGUCCCGGGGGUCCACCGGGUGGGGCCACCCAUCCCAGAGGGCCCCAUGGGCUGAAGUGGGGAGGGGAACCAGCCCAUAAUGGGCUGGUGCGCCCCCCUUGGCCCACCCCCUGCGCCUAGGGUUGGAAACCCUAGGGUGGGGGGGCGCCCCACUUGCCUUGGGGGCCACUCCACCCUUGGCCGCCGCCACCCCUAGGAGAUCCCAUCUCCUAGGGCCGGCACCCCCCUUGGGGAGCCUAUAUAAAGGGGGGGAGGGAGGGGCAGCCGCACCCUUGACUCUUGGCGCCUCCCUCUCCCCUGCUACACCUAUCCCUCUUGCAGUAGAACGGCGAAGCCCUGCUGCGGUGACUCCUGCAUCCACCACCAAGCCGUCAUGCUGCUGGAUCUUCAUCAACCUUUCCUUCCCCUUUGCUAGAUCAAGAAGGAGGAGACGUCACGCUGACCGUACGUGUGUUGAACGCGGAGGUGCCGUCCGUUCGGCGCUAGGAUCCUCGGUGAUUUGGAUCACGUCGAGUACGACUCCCUCAUCCUCGUUCUCUUGAACACUUCUGCUCGCAAUCUACAAAGGUAUGUAGAUGCAAUCCGAUCACUCGUUGCUAGAUGAACUCAUAGAUGGAUCUUGGUGAAACUGUAGGAAAUUUUUUGUUUUCUGCAACGUUCUCCAACAUAUCGGUGAUCUUCAAACCUUUGGCAUAGUUCCAUUGAAAACCACAAUUACUCUUGGUUGCUGAAGAUCUUGCUCGGUGAAGAUAACAACUCUUCAACACUCGAGCCGACACCUAUCCAUCUAGAGAGUGCGCAGCUCUCAAGAGUAAUAGGUACAAGAGCUCUGUCUCAGAACUACUGUGAUGCUCAACCACUAUCUGAGUUUUGGUUCUUGGUUUCGUCUUGGUGGAUUUUAAACUGAAAUCUCUUGGAGAGGGGAUGCUCAAUCAAUCUUCUCAGAAAUCUUAAGCGGAAUAGGCAACGGACAACGUUGGAGCGGGGUCUCUAUUUAUAGCCACAACCAUCCCUGAUGAGAAAUGACCGAAAUGGACAUGUGCUUCAACUAGUGGCCGAACAACACGAGUCCAACGGUCGGAAAUUGAGCACAUUGGUAACAUUCCUUGCGGAUUAAGAAAUUCUAACUCCUCAGUCCAAAAGAUAUCCCCUGCAACACCGAAGAACUACGGCUUCAGCUGACAGGUAAUCAUUCAAAGCAUAAAGAGAUUUCUCUCAUACUUGCAUAGGUUUGUGCUAAGCAUCACAGCGGAUCUAAGCUUCGAGAACAUAUACCACUCUUAGUAGUACGGAGAUCCUAAGACUCAAGAAAGAGAAGAAGAAGAUUGAAUUGAGUUCUACGUCUUCGCUUCGCCUUUGAUCUUCUCAAUCAAUUUUCUUCGGAUGACCUCUGAUCUGAUUGCUUCACCAAAGCAAUAUAUUUAUUGGGGUCAACUUCUUCACAUCAGUAUUCGCGUCAGAACGGCCUUGGGAGAUAUGACCGAAUCUUCUCUGCAUCUCAAAUAUCCUUCAGUGAAGUUCCUCGAACUUGACACCUAAGAUGGCGUUCUUCUACGGUUCUGCUUCGAAUAUUCCUCUCUGUGUGCACUAGCAAACAAAUCAGUCCAUACAUGUUUCUGUCACCAACCUCGAAGACACAGGAGGGCAAGAAUUGCACCAACAUGAACACUAUUCUUGACCCUCUGUUGCGUCAUGGAGUAUUGGUGUUCAUGGACGACAUUCUAGUUUAUAGUUCGACAUUGUAAGAAUAAGUCAAGCAACUGUGUGUUGUGUUUCAGCUACUUCAGCAAAAUUAUUUUGUUAUCAAAUGAUCGAAGUGUGAAUUUUCUAGUCAUAAAAUAGAGUACCUCGGGCAUGGCAUCAGUGAAGCGGGAGCGGCUACAGAUCCUGCAAAGAUCAUGAUAGUUCAGUCCUGGCCUACACCAUCCAGUGCGAGAGCCUUGCAGGGGAUCCCUUGGCCUGACAGGCUACUACCAUAAGUUCAUCCAACAUUAUGGGAUGAUCUGUAAACCAUUUAGUGAGAUCUUGUGUAAAGGGGUGAUCUUUUAGUGGACUCCAAUUGCGGAUCGUGCCUUCCAACUACUAAAAUCGGCCUUGACUCAAGCUCCUAUGCUAGCCCUCCCCAAUUUUAGAGAGACGUAUAUGUUGGAGAUAGAUGCGUGUAACAAGGGUAUCGAGGCUAUGUUGAUGCGGCAAGGGCACCCAGUGUCAUAUCUCAGCAAAAUCCUCUGCCCCGAAAAUCAAACUCUCAGCACAUAUGAGAAAGAGUGUCUUACUAUUCUCAUGGCAGUGGAAAUGGCGUGCAUACCUUGCUACCUCUUGAGCUUGCGUUGGUUUUUCCCUUAAAGAGGAAAGGGUGAUGCAGCAAAGUAGAGUAAGUAUUUCCCUUAGUUUGAGAAUCGAGGUAUCAAUCCAGUAGGAGACAACGCACAAAUCGCCAAAUACCUGCACAAACAAUCAAACAAUUUGCACCCAGUGCAAUAAAGGGGUUGUCAAUCCCUUCACAGUUAUUUGCAGAAGUGAGAUCUGAUAGAGAUUGAUAAACUGUAAAGUAAAUAUUUUUGGUUUGUAGAUUGGAAAGUAAAUGAUUGCAAAAUAGUAGAUCGAAAACUUAUAGAUGGAAAAUAGACCCGAGGCCAUAGGUUUCACUAGAGGCUUCUCUCAUGACAUGUCACGUGUACCCUGGCGGUCAAAACCCACUUGACAAGACAUGCUCAUUUUUAUAAAAAGGUUCAAUGUGGUACAACUUACCCUAAAUGGGGUGAUACCGAUAAAUACAUCUCACAUAGGGUAAUUCCUAUUAAAAAUAUCGGAAUAGGGCCACAAAGUUGACUUUACUCUUUAUAAAAAAAUGACUCAAUAUCAACAUGAGUAGGCAAAUAUAUAUUCUGCGCAUAUAUUUCAUGAUGGGUAUUAUGUGAGAAAAUUUCUUUUUUCAGAUCUUGGUGUAUUAUUUCGAUUAAGCGGGUCAAACUGGUAGAAAUUUGGCAUAGACCAAGUUUAACUUAGUACAGAGUUAAAAUGGCAGUUAAUUCAAAACAGAUCUAGUGCAUGUAUUUGCAGUUCACAUUUUGUUGCAUUAAUUAUUUUCCUUCUUUAGGAAGUUAAAAUUAAUUGCUUCUUCAUCCCGAUGUACGCUGCAUGUAUUUGCAGUUCACAUUUGUUUGCAAUAAUUAUUUUCCUUCUUUAGCAAGUAAAAAUUAGUCAUUUGUAUGAAGCGAUAAGCCCUAGCUUUGAAAGCAUUGAAGUACUGGCUCGUAUAGCCUAUCUAUCUAGAGGUAAUCCUAGGCACGUAUUAAAAACUUUCCAAACAUUUCAGAUGAUUGCUGGCCUAUAUAACCCCGAGUGUGCAGCAGAUACUAGACAUCACUUGUGUUGCACGCACCAUCCACUCAUGGCGAUUGGCUUGCCAUCCACUGAUCAUUUCGUGCUCCUCACCAUCCUCAUCUGCCUCCUCCUCCAUCAUUGCAGUGCAGUCUAUGAUGUCGAGUCAACCGCUGAGUCGGGGAAGCUGAUAUCGGCCCAGCUAAAGCUCGUCGGUGGGUCGACAGAAUUUGGUCCUGAUGUGAAGAGUCUCACCCUAACCGCAAGGCAAGUGUGUUUGAUAUUUCAUUUCAAUCAACUACUCCCUCCUUCCAUCUAUAUAGGGCCUAAUGCGUUUUUUAAGAUUGUCUUUGACUAUUGACAAGAUUAAUAGUACAUGACAUGCACAAUGUGAAAAUUAUAUCAUUGAAGGCUCCUUUCACAUACGAAUUUAACGGUGUGCUUUGUGUAAGUUGCAUGUUAUAUAUUAUUGCUCUAAUAUUUGGUCAAAGUUAACCUCGAAAAAUGCAUUAGGCCCUAUAUAGAUGGAAUGAGGGAGUAGCUAGAUAAGUUGGUUCUUGCUCACAGAUUCUUAAUUUUGUGUCAUGACGGCAGUCUUGAGACGGAUAGCCGGCUACGCGUGCGCAUCACCGAUGCUGACCAUCGGCGAUGGGAGGUCCCCCAAGACGUCAUCCCACGCCCGGCACCAGGGCCAGAACCAAAGGACGUUUUGCUCGACUCACCAGGCAAUCCAUCCAUGCCGACCAACAGCACCAUGUCCAGCGCGUCUUCCGACCUGACCUUCACCAUCCACCCCAGCCCGUUCCGCUUCACGGUCUCCCGUCGCUCCACCGGGGACACCCUCUUUGACACUUCCGCCAACCUUGUCUUCAAGGACCGGUAUGUUACAAGUGUUCCAUUGCAAUGUUAUCUAGUGUAGCUUAGUUGAUCCGCAAGAGUUAGAUCGAUGUAGAACAAUACCAUGGUCUGUAAGUAGCAAGUGAACGAUGGGCAUGAAAUUGGAAUGCAGGUACUUGGAGGUGACAUCGGCGCUGCCGGCUGACCGAGCAUCCCUGUAUGGGCUCGGCGAGCAGAAAAAACAGACGUUCCGGCUACAACACAAUGACACUUUCACGCUGUGGAACGGGGACGUGACGUGGUCCGACCAACCGGACCUCAACCUCUAUGGCUCGCACCCGUUUUACAUGGACGUGCGCUCCGGCGGUGCCGCGCAUGGCGUGCUCCUCCUGAACAGCAAUGGGAUGGACAUACUGUACGGCGGAUCCUACGUCACCUACAAGGUGAUCGGUGGCGUGCUAGACUUCUACUUCUUCGUCGGUCCCUCCCCGCUCGACGUCGUGGACCAGUACACACAGCUCAUCGGCCGCCCUGCCCCCAUGCCCUACUGGUCAUUCGGUACGAGUACCUUCUUGGUAGGCAUAUAUCCAUAUAUAUGCUGGCUCUGCUCUGCUACGCUCACUCGAUCUUGCACUUGUAGGGUUCCACCAGUCUAGGUAUGGCUACAAGAACGUGGCUGAUCUGGAUGGCGUGGUCGCCGGCUACGCCAAGGCCAGGAUCCCACUGGAGGCGAUCUGGUCGGACAUCGACUACAUGGACGGUUACCAGGACUUCACGCUGGAUCCGGUGAACUACCCGUCCAAGCAGCUCCGGCCAUUCGUGGACCGGCUCCACAACAAUGGCCAGAAAUACGUGGUCACCGUACACCCGGCUAUCAAACGGCAAGCAGCACCUCACGAGGACUUGUUCCUCAAGCGAAACGGCGCCAACCUGGUAGGCGAGGCGUGGCCAGGCGAGGUCUACUUCCUGGACUUCAUGAGCCCACGUAGCACCCAGUACUGGGCACGAAAGAUCUCUGAGUUUCGGCGGACCAUCCCUGUGGAUGGGCUCUGGUGCGACAUUAACGAGCCCUCCAACUUCAAGCAGUGGCAGCCUCUCAAUCAGUUGGACGACCCGCCCUACCGCAUCAACAACUCCGGCUUCCACCUUCCCAUCAACUACAGGACUGUGCCGGUCUCAACGGUGCACUACAACGGCGUGUCCGAGUACGACGCGCACAAUCUCUUCGGCCUCCUCCAGGCGCAGGCCACGCACGCCGGGCUGCUCAGGGACACCACACGCCGCCCCUUCGUGCUCAGCCGCUCUACCUUUGUCGGCUCCGGCCGUUACGCCGCGCACUGGGCCGGCAACAAUGUCGCGCGGUGGGACGAGCUUGCGCAAUCCAUCAACACCAUCCUCAACUUUGGCCUCUUCGGCAUCCCAAUGAUGGGCGCCGACAUCUGUGGCUUCAACGGCAACACCACCCAGGAGCUCUGCAGCCGCUGGAUUCAGCUUGGCGCAUUCUACCCGUUCGCCAGGGCCCACGCAGAGAAGACAACCCUCCGGCGAGAGCUCUAUGUGUGGGAGCCGACGGCACGGUCGGCGAGGAAAGCGUUGGGGAUGCGCUAUCGGCUACUGCCCUACAUGUACACGCUAAUGUACGAGGCGCACAUGACGGGGGCGCCCAUCGCGCGGCCACUCUUCUUCUCCUACCCGCAGGAUGCCGACACCUAUGGCGUGGACAGGCAAUUCAUGCUAGGCCGCGGCGUGCUUGUCUCUCCGGUGCUACAGCCCGGCGCCACCACCGUGGACGCCUAUUUCCCGGCCGGCCGGUGGUUCAGUCUUUACGACUACUCCCUCGCCUACACCAUGAAGGUCGGCAAGCGCGUGACCCUCCCGGCGCCAGCGGACUUGGCAAAUGCGCACCUGGCCGGCGGCAACAUCCUACUACUGCAGCAUGCCGACCUCACCACGUCCGCUGCACGCCAAAGCGAGUUCCACCUCCUUGUGGCGCUCGCGGAGAAUGGGACGGCCAGUGGGGAGCUGUUCUCGGAUGACGGCGACUCGCCGGAGAUGGGCGCUGUGGGAGGCAGUUGGACCCUGGUGAGAUUCAGCUGCGACAGGGAGGAAAGCAAAGGCAUGGUCACCACCAAGGUGAGUUCACAUGUGGUUCAGAACUCAUACGCGCCGAGUCGGGCGCAGGUCAUCGGCAAGGUGGUCUUCAUGGGGCUGCCGUCCGCACCAAAGAGCUUCGCUAUCUAUGUAAACAGCGUGCAGCUCAAGGCAGCCCGCACCAAGUCCCGGGCGAGCGGAGUCUUCAGCGUCAGUGGCCUGUCGCUGGCAAUCGGACAGAAGUUUGAGAUAAAGCUUGUCAUGUCCCAUUAGUAUCGAAACCAAUUGUGUAGUACAAUUUUUUAUCGGAAUAAAUAAAAGUUGAAUAUUGAUCUAGAGUGAUCUAUUGUUUAAUGUUUAAUCAUUUGAUCUAGGGUUUUAAAAAUGUCUUAACAGGUUGAUUUUAUUUUCUCAAAAUCUAAG
This 29115-nucleotide long non-coding RNA is filed under the name Triticum aestivum (bread wheat). Its description in RNAcentral is "long non-coding RNA (TAES_LNC021532)". The record is from RNAcentral. Lineage: Eukaryota; Viridiplantae; Streptophyta; Magnoliopsida; Poales; Poaceae.